This 264-nucleotide ribosomal RNA is filed under the name uncultured bacterium. RNAcentral describes it as "partial 16S ribosomal RNA". It matches the Rfam family "Bacterial small subunit ribosomal RNA", at positions 88 to 354 of the family's 1533-position model. The record is from RNAcentral.
CCGGCGACCGGCGCACGGGUGAGUAACGCGUAUGUAACCUACCUUUGACAGGGGGAUAACAUCGAGAAAUUGGUACUAAUACCCCAUAACAUCACCGGAGGCAUCUUCGGUGGUUGAAAACUCAGGUGGUCAGAGAUGGACAUGCGUUGUAUUAGCUAGUUGGUGAGGUAACGGCUCACCAAGGCGACGAUACAUAGGGGGACUGAGAGGUCAACCCCCACAUUGGUACUGAGACACGGACCAAACUCCUACGGGAGGCAGCAG